ACAAUCAAUGGAAGGCUUACCUCCAUCCCAUGGAGUAUCGUCAGGACUGCAACCCAACCACAGAAGAAACAACAAACAGCUUAUCCAACCAUACUGAUGAUACGGGAAGGAAGCAAAGAUACUAGAAGAAUCCAAGAUCCGCCAAUCAACAUACCCAAAUAUCACGGCAUUCCAAAGCAUAAUGUUAUUAUCUUGAGGUGCACCACUAAUGCCUGCCGGUGGGUCCUGUUGCAACCUCUUAAAAUCCCUCAUCAGCCUCUUCCUCGCAG
Molecule: long non-coding RNA, 269 nt
Organism: Rhodamnia argentea
Lineage: Eukaryota; Viridiplantae; Streptophyta; Magnoliopsida; Myrtales; Myrtaceae
Exons: 3
Source: RefSeq, a predicted model, not a curated record